UAUUUAAAGAUUACUUUAGUGACCAAUUGAACUUAAGUCUUUACUGGUCAUGGAGCAAAGGAAAUGUUCUUUUAAAACUCAAGCAAAUUAAGUGUUUGUUUCAUGCCUUCUCAGAGGAAACAACA
Molecule: small nucleolar RNA, 125 nt
Organism: Suncus etruscus (white-toothed pygmy shrew)
Lineage: Eukaryota; Metazoa; Chordata; Mammalia; Eulipotyphla; Soricidae
Product: small nucleolar RNA SNORA27
Exons: 1
Source: RefSeq, a predicted model, not a curated record